This is a long non-coding RNA of Amphimedon queenslandica, 535 nucleotides long. RefSeq lists it as uncharacterized. The record is from RefSeq and is a predicted model, not a curated record. Lineage: Eukaryota; Metazoa; Porifera; Demospongiae; Haplosclerida; Niphatidae. The transcript has 4 exons.
AUGUAUUGAAAACCUUUUAAUGUAUUCUCGUUAUAUUCCAGAUACCAUCAGUCCCGGUCAAAGGAGCGUCCAUUGUAUCACAGUAGACACAGGUCACCCAGUGGGGACAGUCAGGACGAGGAGAGGAGAGAUGGGAGGAGUCAACAACGGGGACAUAGACACGAGUCUGGAUAUGAAUCUCACCAGGACUUUGAGUCUCCAACUUUAACUCGUAGGGCUCGCGGGAGAAACAACAGUGAUAGUACCUGGGGCCCUUCGACCCCGCCCACUCCCAGAGACUCCAAGAAAGGAUUCUUAGGGUUUUUCUCAAAGAAAAGUGCAAGUUUGACUAGCCUUGCCUCUACAAAAUCAGACAGUGGUGAAAGAGGCAGUAUAUCAAGUUAUAAACUUUGAAAGAGGGAAAGGGACAAUUGCGUACCAUUAUUGAUCUUGUUAGAUAACAUUUGAAUGAUGUUCACGAUGUAACUGUAAAUUUUGUCUUUAUCAAUUUUUUCUUAUUAUUAAUUUAUGCAUAUUUAAAUUAUUUUUGUUCUUU